GUGCCAGCCGCCGCGGUAAGACGAAGGGGGCUAGCGUUGUUCGGAAUUACUGGGCGUAAAGCGCGUGUAGGCGGUUGCCAUAGUCAGGUGUGAAAGCCUUGAGCUUAACUCAAGAAAUGCACUUGAUACUGGGCGACUAGAGGACCGGAGAGGAUAGUGGAAUUCCCAGUGUAGUGGUGAAAUACGUAGAGAUUGGGAAGAACACCAGUGGCGAAGGCGGCUAUCUGGACGGUUACUGACGCUAAGACGCGAAAGCGUGGGGAGCAAACAGGAUUAGAUACCCUGGUAGUCC
This 292-nucleotide ribosomal RNA is filed under the name uncultured bacterium. Its description in RNAcentral is "partial 16S ribosomal RNA". It matches the Rfam family "Bacterial small subunit ribosomal RNA", at positions 505 to 796 of the family's 1533-position model. The record is from RNAcentral.